GGUAUUUAGCUUAUUGGUAGAGCAUGUGGUUAACAUAUACAAGGUCCUGGGUUCAAUCCCUAGUACCA
RNAcentral lists this transfer RNA (68 nucleotides) under Dipodomys ordii (Ord's kangaroo rat). It matches the Rfam family "tRNA". From Rfam's summary of the family: Transfer RNA (tRNA) molecules are approximately 80 nucleotides in length. Their secondary structure includes four short double-helical elements and three loops (D, anti-codon, and T loops). Lineage: Eukaryota; Metazoa; Chordata; Mammalia; Rodentia; Heteromyidae. The record is from Rfam by way of RNAcentral.